This 21-nucleotide non-coding RNA is filed under the name Caenorhabditis elegans. Lineage: Eukaryota; Metazoa; Nematoda; Chromadorea; Rhabditida; Rhabditidae. The record is from RNAcentral.
CUGAAUCCGUAUCAAAAACAC